CCUACGGGAGGCAGCAGUGGGGAAUAUUGCACAAUGGGGGAAACCCUGAUGCAGCGACGCCGCGUGAGUGAAGAAGUAUUUCGGUACGUAAAGCUCUAUCAGCAGGGAAGAAAAUGACGGUACCUGACUAAGAAGCCCCGGCUAACUACGUGCCAGCAGCCGCGGUAAUACGUAGGGGGCAAGCGUUAUCCGGAUUUACUGGGUGUAAAGGGAGCGUAGACGGCAGCGCAAGUCUGGAGUGAAAUCCCAUGGCUUAACCAUGGAACUGCUUUGGAAACUGUGCAGCUAGAGUGCAGGAGAGGUAAGCGGAAUUCCUAGUGUAGCGGUGAAAUGCGUAGAUAUUAGGAGGAACACCAGUGGCGAAGGCGGCUUACUGGACUGUAACUGACGUUGAGGCUCGAAAACGUGGGGAGCAAACAGGAUUAGAUACCCCUGUAGUC
Molecule: ribosomal RNA, 440 nt
Filed under: uncultured bacterium
Lineage: Bacteria
Description: partial 16S ribosomal RNA
Rfam family: Bacterial small subunit ribosomal RNA
Source: RNAcentral